UACGGAAGGCAGCAGUGGGGAAUAUUGCACAAUGGGCGAAAGCCUGAUGCAGCUAUGCCGCGUGUAUGAAGAAGGCCUUAGGGUUGUAAAGUACUUUCAUCGGGGAGGAAAAAACAAAACUAAUAAUUUUAUUUCUUGACGUUACCCGAAAAAGAAGCACCGGCUAACUCCGUGCCAGCAGCCGCGGUAAUACGGAGGGUGCUAGCGUUAAUCAGAAUUACUGGGCGUAAAGAGCACGUAGGUGGUUUUUUUAAGUCAGAUGUGAAAUCCCUGGGCUUAACCUGGAACUGCAUUUUGAAACUGAAAUACUAGAGUAUCGUAGAGGGAGGUAGAAUUCUAGGUGUAGCGGUGAAAUGCGUAGAUAUCUGGAGGAAUACCUGUGGCGAAAGCGGCCUCCUAAACGAAUACUGACACUGAGGUGCGAAAGCGUGGGGAGCAAACAGGGAUUAGACC
Molecule: ribosomal RNA, 453 nt
Filed under: uncultured bacterium
Lineage: Bacteria
Description: bacterial SSU rRNA
Rfam family: Bacterial small subunit ribosomal RNA
Source: RNAcentral